AGAGUUUGAUCCUGGCUCAGAAUGAACGCUGGCGGCGUGCUUAACACAUGCAAGUCGAGCGCGAAAGUUUCUUCGGAAAUUAGUAAAGCGGCGAACGGGUGAGUAAUACGCAAGAACUUACCCUUCAGUGGGGAAUAUGCCUGAGAAAUUGGGUUUAAUACCGCAUACGUCCUACGGGAGAAAGGCGGCUUUUAUGCUGU
RNAcentral lists this ribosomal RNA (200 nucleotides) under uncultured bacterium. RNAcentral's name for it is "partial 16S ribosomal RNA". It matches the Rfam family "Bacterial small subunit ribosomal RNA", at positions 8 to 218 of the family's 1533-position model. The record is from RNAcentral.